Molecule: ribosomal RNA, 420 nt
Filed under: uncultured bacterium
Lineage: Bacteria
Description: bacterial SSU rRNA
Rfam family: Bacterial small subunit ribosomal RNA
Source: RNAcentral
AGGAAUAUUGGUCAAUGGACGAGAGUCUGAACCAGCCAAGUAGCGUGAAGGAUGACUGCCCUAUGGGUUGUAAACUUCUUUUAUAUGGGAAUAAAAUGAGUUACGUGUAGCUUUUUGUAUGUACCAUAUGAAUAAGGAUCGGCUAACUCCGUGCCAGCAGCCGCGGUAAUACGGAGGAUCCGAGCGUUAUCCGGAUUUAUUGGGUUUAAAGGGUGCGUAGGCGGUCCGGAAAGUCAGCGGUAAAAGCCCGGGGCUCAACCCCGGCGAGCCGUUGAAACUGUCGGACUAGAGACGGCGAGAAGUACGCGGAAUGCGCGGUGUAGCGGUGAAAUGCAUAGAUAUCGCGCAGAACUCCGAUUGCGAAGGCAGCGUACCGGCGCCGGCCUGACGCUGAGGCACGAAAGCGUGGGUAUCGAACAG